GUCUGCUUGAAGUUGUAUGCAGUCUAGCCUGCCCACUGAUUAAUAAUUGAAGGGCCGCGGUAUUCUGACCGUGCAAAGGUAGCAUAAUCGUUAGUUUCUUAAUUGGGAUCUUGUAUGAAUGGUUGGACAAAAGAAAAUCUGUCUCUGUGACAGGAGUUGAAUUUAACCUUUAAGUGAAAAGGCUUAAAUGAAUUAAAGGGACGAUAAGACCCUAUAAAGCUUAAUAUUUGUGAGUAGUAAACUAAAUUUUUUAAAUUAUAAAAGUUUACUGUAAAACAUUUAUUAUAUUGGGGCGAUAAAAGUAAAAUGAUUAGUAACUGCUUUAUUUUUAGACAGAUUAUAAGUGAUUAUAAGUAGUAAAGGAUCCUUGGUAAAGAUUAGAAGAUUAAGUUACUUUAGGGAUAACAGCGUUAUUUUUUUUGAGAGUUCUUAUCGAAAAAAGAGUUUGCGACCUCGAUGUUGAAUUAAAAUUUCUUUACAAUUGCAGGAGUUGUUAGAGAAGGUCUGUUCGACCUUUAAAUUUUU
This 525-nucleotide ribosomal RNA is filed under the name Geograpsus crinipes. RNAcentral describes it as "partial 16S ribosomal RNA". It matches the Rfam family "Bacterial large subunit ribosomal RNA", at positions 1829 to 2597 of the family's 2925-position model. The record is from RNAcentral. Lineage: Eukaryota; Metazoa; Arthropoda; Malacostraca; Decapoda; Grapsidae.